AGUGAACGCUGGCGGUAGGCCUAACACAUGCAAGUCGAACGGCAGCACAGUAAGAGCUUGCUCUUACGGGUGGCGAGUGGCGGACGGGUGAGGAAUACAUCGGAAUCUACUUUUUCGUGGGGGAUAACGUAGGGAAACUUACGCUAAUACCGCAUACGACCUACGGGUGAAAGCAGGGGAUCUUCGGACCUUGCGCGAUUGAAUGAGCCGAUGUCGGAUUAGCUAGUUGGCGGGGUAAAGGCCCACCAAGGCGACGAUCCGUAGCUGGUCUGAGAGGAUGAUCAGCCACACUGGAACUGAGACACGGUCCAGACUCCUACGGUAGGCAGCAGUGGGGAAUAUUGGACAAUGGGCGCAAGCCUGAUCCAGCCAUACCGCGUGGGUGAAGAAGGCCUUCGGGUUGUAAAGCCCUGUUGUUGGGAAAGAAAAGCAGCAGGUUAAGACCCCGCUGUUCUGACGGUACCCAAAGAAUAAGCACCGGCUAACUUCGUG
Molecule: ribosomal RNA, 492 nt
Filed under: uncultured bacterium
Lineage: Bacteria
Description: partial 16S ribosomal RNA
Rfam family: Bacterial small subunit ribosomal RNA
Source: RNAcentral